Molecule: ribosomal RNA, 460 nt
Filed under: uncultured bacterium
Lineage: Bacteria
Description: partial 16S ribosomal RNA
Rfam family: Bacterial small subunit ribosomal RNA
Source: RNAcentral
CCUACGGGAGGCAGCAGUGAGGAAUAUUGGUCAAUGGACGAGAGUCUGAACCAGCCAAGUAGCGUGAAGGAAGACUGCCCUAUGGGUUGUAAACUUCUUUUAUAAAGGAAUAAAACGAGGCACGUGUGCGUGUUUGCAUGUACUUUAUGAAUAAGGAUCGGCUAACUCCGUGCCAGCAGCCGCGGUAAUACGGAGGAUCCGAGCGUUAUCCGGAUUGAUUGGGUGUAAAGGGAGCGUAGAUGGGUUGUUAAGUCAGUUGUGAAAGUUUGCGGCUCAACCGUAAAAUUGCAAUUGAUACUGGUAGUCUUGAGUAAAGUAGAGGUAGGCGGAAUUCGUGGUGUAGCGGUGAAAUGCUUAGAUAUCACGAAGAACCCCGAUUGCGAAGGCAGCUUACUAAGCUGUGACUGACAUUGAUGCUCGAAAGUGUGGGUAUCAAACAGGAUUAGAUACCCUUGUAGUC